AUCAGGUAAAGCUGGGAACUCUGGGGAGACUGCCGGUGAUAAACCGGAGGAAGCGGGGAUGACGUCAAGUCCUCAUGGCCCUUACAUCCCGGGCUACACACGUGCUACAAUGGCAGGUACAGAGGGCUGCGAAGCCGCGAGGUGGAGCGAAUCCCAGAAAACCUGUCUCAGUCCGGAUUGAAGUCUGCAACUCGACUUCAUGAAGGCGGAAUCGCUAGUAACCGCGAAUCAGCAGGUCGCGGUGAAUACGUUCCCGGGCCUU
Molecule: ribosomal RNA, 262 nt
Filed under: uncultured Latescibacterota bacterium
Lineage: Bacteria; Pseudomonadati; Candidatus Latescibacterota
Description: uncultured Latescibacteria bacterium partial 16S ribosomal RNA
Rfam family: Bacterial small subunit ribosomal RNA
Source: RNAcentral